Molecule: unclassified non-coding RNA, 390 nt
Filed under: Hevea brasiliensis (rubber tree)
Lineage: Eukaryota; Viridiplantae; Streptophyta; Magnoliopsida; Malpighiales; Euphorbiaceae
Source: RNAcentral
GAUUGGGGAUCUGGGAUAUGCCACAUGCCAAGUAUGAAAUCAAUGAGUUGGACACAUAUUCCUUGAACUUUGGGCCCCUUGAAAUUUGAGACCUGUACUGUACUGUUACACUGAGCUUCCUUCUGUUGGACAGUUGAUUAUCCUUCAACCUGUUUUGGUGCACUUAAUCUUAGUAAGAAAUAAAAUUUUGUAUAAUCAAUUAGUAUUUGCAUGAAUUUUGAUCCACUUCUCAACACUUUGCAAAAGGAUAUUUUCUUCAACAUUCUGUUUGGGAAUGCUUCUUGAUCAAAUUAAUAAUUGCAGUUUAGCAAAUACAUAGAAUGAUAACAGAUUAGUUGAACUUCAACCUGGUGCAAUUAUAUUUUGAUUUUGUCUGCUCUUAGGGUAUCA